RNAcentral lists this ribosomal RNA (254 nucleotides) under uncultured bacterium. Its description in RNAcentral is "partial 16S ribosomal RNA". It matches the Rfam family "Bacterial small subunit ribosomal RNA", at positions 524 to 776 of the family's 1533-position model. The record is from RNAcentral.
GACGUAGGGCGCGAGCGUUGUCCGGAAUUAUUGGGCGUAAAGAGCUCGUAGGCGGCUUGUUGCGUCGACUGUGAAAGCCCGUGGCUUAACCGCGUGGUCUGCAGUCGAUACGGGCAGGCUAGAGUUCGGUAGGGGAGACUGGAAUUCCGGGUGUAGCGGUGGAAUGCGUAGAGAUCCGGAAGAACACCGGUGGCGAAGGCGGCCUGCUGGGCAGUGGCUGACACUGAGGCGCGGCAGCGUGGGGAGCAAACAGG